GGAAAAACAAUAAUAUAUGCUACUGUAUAUGAACAUGUUUCUUUAAAUGGGUUGUUCUAGAGUAAAAAGUGUGCUUUGUGUUUAAAAUAUUUGUUAUUCGAAAAGAAACGUUUCAAAUUGUUGCAGAAACACACUGAUUUGAAAUGAGUGCUAUGAGGCAGUUUGUCUUUAGACCAACAACAACAACAACAACAACAACAACAACAACAACUGAAUGCCCCGAGCAGAGAGCAGCGCGUGCAAUUGAAACUGGAACAAUCAUAUUAAUCGUUCUUACAAGCUUAUGCGCUUUCUUUGGCCUGUGCUGCUUGCCAUUCCUGGUUGGGAUUUGCUGUGGCCUGGGCUUGUGUGGCACAGAACGUGCCUACAAUUAUGGCUAAUGCUUUUGAGCUGAAUCACUGAACACGAAUGUUAUAUUCAAUAUAUAAUGUUUGACAUACCUUUUUUCGGAUCUGUUGCGACUGCGUGUAUUAAAUCAGAAAAUCGAAAUCAGUAGUAGAUAUAGUUGGCCGUAUUUAUAGUUAUAUUUGAUUCCUUCUUGCAUCGUACAACUAAUUUUUAAUCAAAAAUUAAACGUAUUUCUCAUAGUGAAAA
Long non-coding RNA from Drosophila montana, 594 nucleotides. RefSeq lists it as uncharacterized. The transcript is spliced from 2 exons. The record is from RefSeq and is a predicted model, not a curated record. NCBI's taxonomy places the organism in Eukaryota, Metazoa, Arthropoda, Insecta, Diptera, Drosophilidae.